AUGACGACAUGCUUGGUAUCGAGCGCUGGCAGAGGAGACUCGCACUGGAUUCCCAAGUCCUCCCAGUCAGGGUUCAACAUUGAACACAGGGCACUUACCGUGGACUUAAGGCUCACAUUGGUUUCCUUUGUUCUUAUUUUAAAAGAUGUCCAGUGUGAGGUGCAAUUGUUGGAGUCUGGAGGAGGCUUAAUGCAGCCUGGAAAGUCCCUAAACCUCUCCUGUGCAGCCUCUGGAUUCACCUUCAGUAGCUACUGGGUGAACUGGGUUCGCCAGGCUCCAGGGAAGGGGCUGGAGUGGGUCGCAUAUAUUAAUCCAGAUGGUAGCACCUCCUAUGCGGACUCUGUGAAGGGUCGGUUCACAAUCUCCAAAGACAACGCCAAGAACACUCUGUACCUGGAAGUGAACAAUCUGAAGUCUGAGGACACAGUCAUGUAUUACUGUGCAAGAUACACAGUGAGUGAAUGCUACUGUGAGCUCAAACAAAAACACCUUUUGUGGGGAACACAGAACCAGCAGGGAGCGCUGAGAGCAUUUAGAGAUCUAGGUCACAAAAGAGCCUGCUCAGAGAAGCAUGGAAGCCUGGACUUCUCUGUGUCUCCACUGCCUCUUUAUACCACACUUUAG
Molecule: non-coding RNA, 624 nt
Organism: Chionomys nivalis (European snow vole)
Lineage: Eukaryota; Metazoa; Chordata; Mammalia; Rodentia; Cricetidae
Source: the annotation of a RefSeq genome assembly